RNAcentral lists this ribosomal RNA (497 nucleotides) under uncultured bacterium. RNAcentral's name for it is "partial 16S ribosomal RNA". It matches the Rfam family "Bacterial small subunit ribosomal RNA", at positions 28 to 507 of the family's 1533-position model. The record is from RNAcentral.
GAUGAACGCUGGCGGCGUGCCUAAUACAUGCAAGUCGAGCGAACAGACGAGGAUCUUUCUCCUCUGACGUUAGCGUCGGACGGGUGAGUAUCACGUGGAUAUCCUCCCUAUAAGACUUUGAUAACUUCGUGCAACCGGAUCUAUUACCGGUUAAUAUCUUUCUCCGCCUGGUUCAGUAGUGAAAGACGGUUUUGCUGUCACUUAUAUAUGCUUCCGCGCCGCAUUAGCUAGUUGGUAAUGUAACGGUGUACCAAGGCAACGAUGGGUAGCCGACCGGAGAGGGUGAGAGGCGACAGUGGAACUGAGACACGGUCAAGACUCCUACGGGAGGCAGCAGUAGGGAAUAGUCCGCGAUGGGGGAAAGCCUGAGGGAGCAACGCCGCGUGAGUGAUGAAGGUGGUCGAAUCGUAAAACGCUGUUAAUAGGGAAGAACAAAAGUGUAAGGAACUAUGCAGGGUGUGAAGGUAACUAAUCAGAAAGCCACGGCUAACUACGUG